RNAcentral lists this ribosomal RNA (404 nucleotides) under Actinomycetes bacterium. Its description in RNAcentral is "Actinobacteria bacterium partial 16S ribosomal RNA". It matches the Rfam family "Bacterial small subunit ribosomal RNA", at positions 355 to 776 of the family's 1533-position model. The record is from RNAcentral. Lineage: Bacteria; Bacillati; Actinomycetota; Actinomycetes.
UGGGGAAUAUUGGACAAUGGGCGCAAGCCUGAUCCAGCCAUGCCGCGUGAGUGAUGAAGGCCCUAGGGUUGUAAAGCUCUUUCACCGGUGAAGAUAAUGACGGUAACCGGAGAAGAAGCCCCGGCUAACUUCGUGCCAGCAGCCGCGGUAAUACGAAGGGGGCUAGCGUUGUUCGGAUUUACUGGGCGUAAAGCGCACGUAGGCGGACUUUUAAGUCAGGGGUGAAAUCCCGGGGCUCAACCCCGGAACUGCCUUUGAUACUGGAAGUCUUGAGUAUGGUAGGGGUGAGUGGAAUUCCGAGUGUAGAGGUGAAAUUCGUAGAUAUUCGGAGGAACACCAGUGGCGGAGGCGGCUCACUGAACCAUUACUGACGCUGAGGUGCGAAAGCGGGGGGAGCAAACAGG